Molecule: ribosomal RNA, 964 nt
Filed under: Alternaria infectoria
Lineage: Eukaryota; Fungi; Ascomycota; Dothideomycetes; Pleosporales; Pleosporaceae
Description: eukaryotic LSU rRNA
Rfam family: Eukaryotic large subunit ribosomal RNA (bases 353-964)
Source: RNAcentral
ACAAACCUUUUGCAAUAGCAAUCAGCGUCAGUAACAACGUAAUUAAUUACAACUUUCAACAACGGAUCUCUUGGUUCUGGCAUCGAUGAAGAACGCAGCGAAAUGCGAUACGUAGUGUGAAUUGCAGAAUUCAGUGAAUCAUCGAAUCUUUGAACGCACAUUGCGCCCUUUGGUAUUCCAAAGGGCAUGCCUGUUCGAGCGUCAUUUGUACCCUCAAGCUUUGCUUGGUGUUGGGCGUCUUUUGUCUCCAGUUCGCUGGAGACUCGCCUUAAAGUCAUUGGCAGCCGGCCUACUGGUUUCGGAGCGCAGCACAAGUCUUGCCAGCCAAGGUCAGCGUCCACAAGCCUUUUUUCAACCUUGACCUCGAUCAGAGAUCCCGCUGAACUUAAGCAUAUCAAUAAGCGGAGGACAGAACACCGGGAUGCCCUAGUAACGGCGAGUGAAGCGGCAACAGCUCAAAUUUGAAAUCUGGUCUUUUGAGUCCGAGUUGUAAUUUGCAGAGGGCGCUUUGCCUUUGGCAGCGGUCCAAGUUCCUUGGAACAGGACGUCACAGAGGGUGAGAAUCCCGUACGUGGUCGCUGGCUAUUGCCGUGUAAAGCCCCUUCGACGAGUCGAGUUGUUUGGGAAUGCAGCUCUAAAUGGGAGGUACAUUUCUUCUAAAGCUAAAUAUUGGCCAGAGACCGAUAGCGCACAAGUAGAGUGAUCGAAAGAUGAAAAGCACUUUGGAAAGAGAGUCAAACAGCACGUGAAAUUGUUGAAAGGGAAGCGCUUGCAGCCAGACUUGCUUGCAGUUGCUCAUCCGGGCUUUUGCCCGGUGCACUCUUCUGCAGGCAGGCCAGCAUCAGUUUGGGCGGUAGGAUAAAGGUCUCUGUCACGUACCUCUCUUCGGGGAGGCCUUAUAGGGGAGGCGACAUACUACCAGCCUGGACUGAGGUCCGCGCAUCUGCUAGAUGCUGGCGUAAUG